GCGUAUGGUGAAAUUGGUAGACACGCCAGACUUAGGAUCUGGUGCCGCAAGGUGUGAAGGUUCGAGUCCUUUUACGCACA
RNAcentral lists this transfer RNA (80 nucleotides) under Flavobacterium agricola. RNAcentral describes it as "Flavobacterium sp. CC-SYL302 tRNA-Leu". It matches the Rfam family "tRNA". Rfam says of the family: Transfer RNA (tRNA) molecules are approximately 80 nucleotides in length. Their secondary structure includes four short double-helical elements and three loops (D, anti-codon, and T loops). Further hydrogen bonds mediate the characteristic L-shaped molecular structure. tRNAs have two regions of fundamental functional importance: the anti-codon, which is responsible for specific mRNA codon recognition, and the 3' end, to which the tRNAs corresponding amino acid is attached (by aminoacyl-tRNA synthetases). tRNAs cope with the degeneracy of the genetic code in two manners: having more than one tRNA (with a specific anti-codon) for a particular amino acid; and 'wobble' base-pairing, i.e. permitting non-standard base-pairing at the 3rd anti-codon position. The record is from RNAcentral. Lineage: Bacteria; Pseudomonadati; Bacteroidota; Flavobacteriia; Flavobacteriales; Flavobacteriaceae.